RNAcentral lists this ribosomal RNA (2238 nucleotides) under Triticum aestivum (bread wheat). Its description in RNAcentral is "partial small subunit ribosomal RNA". The record is from RNAcentral. Lineage: Eukaryota; Viridiplantae; Streptophyta; Magnoliopsida; Poales; Poaceae.
AUGGAUGAUUUCUUCAAACAAUUUGAUAAAGAACAAUGGAAGAGCGGAACCAAACCCACACCAAAGCAAAUUCGUGAGUUAAGAUUAAAUGGUUGGAAAUCAGGCCGCGGUCCGGAUUUUUUUGACUGGUUUAAAACACAUUGUAUGGAAUCAUCUAAUAUUCACAAUGCUUUGCGCCAAAUGUCUUAUGAAUUUCGUAGUAGAGUUAGAAGGUAUGGCAUCUAUGAUGUCAAUGGGUAUAGGUUCCGGUCAGAGUUGUAUGAAAGUGAGAAAUCAGGAUUAUCAACAAUCAAUACUGGAAGCAUGCAACUUGAGCUAGUUUUAUUUGAUUGUCACUGGUUUGACCCUACACCUGAUGGACUUAAACGAACUGAGAAGUUGGGCUUGGUGGAGGUUAAACACACAUCUCGGCUGUCAAAUUUUGAUCCAUUUGUCCUGGGAAGUCAAGUCAGUCAAGUAUAUUAUCUGCCGUACGCAUGUAAGACCAGACCAGAUCUAUUGGAUUGGUCGAUUGCGUAUCAUGUUCCUCCACAUGGCUAUCUUCCUCCUAAUGGAAGCAAUGAUGAAGGACCAAGAGAUGACAUGUUUGUCUAUCAAGAAGAUGGUUUGGAAGGCACCUUUGUGAUAGACUUAGGGAUUGACCUAGAAGUUACAACAUCAUUGAUAUCAGAUGAGAUUGAGAUUACUGACCCGAAGGAUCUGGAACGGUUAAAGAAGCAGCAAGAAGGUGUUCAAGUUAACGACAGUGAGGAUGACGAUGAAGAUGAUGAAGUAGACGAUGACCUCGAGCAUGAAACCCCAUCUUAUGACCCAAAUGAUUUCUGCUUUGUGCUUCUAAAACUGAGUUGUUUGUUGAUGACCGGCACAAUUCGCCACACCAGAUUACGUCGCAAGGCUGCUAGCAACUCAAAUGGUAUUUGCACCAACUCUAAUGGCAGCAACUCCCAAAGGACCAACUGUGAUGGCGGUGACUCAGGUGACAAUGCCCCCCAAAGGACCAAUGCUGGCAGCAAUAACUCAAGUGGUGGCCAAACAAUCAAUGCCCGUGAAGCAAUUCCAAAGAAGAGGGGGAGGGCAAAGAGAGCAAGGACCUCACUAAGAAUGCCUCCUAAUGGUCGCAAGGUCCAACUCGAACCUAACGGUGAAACGCAAUUUAAAUAUCUUGGUGGCAUUCCCAAUGGAUACAAAUAUGGUUCACAGUUGGGAGUCAUUCUCAAGCGGGAAUAUCCAGGUUUAGUUAAGUACAUGGACGAUAGUGGUGUAACUAGAAGCCGCCCAGCACUAGAAUGGGAGGACUACUAUCUUGUGCAUGAUGAUGAAGGUGUUUCCAAUGCUGACCGGGUGAAGCAAGAAUUUUGGCGUUGCUUUGAAGUUGCCGAGGCAAAUAGGGUGGAGGCUGAUCGUAUUUUAGAAAGCUAUGCGAGGAGGAAAGUGAAAGACAUCUUGUACCAAGCUCGUGUGGAUGCAGUCAAGAUAUAUUAUGAUGACCAAGGAGAGGAGCUUGAUGACAAGCUGGCAUGUGCAAGGGAACUAAUUUAUUGGUGCUCGAAAGAGUUCAAGGAAGCAAGGCGCAGAGCCCAAAAAUUCCGCUUGCAAUCUGAAGAUGUUGCUCAAAAUCAUGGAGGUUCACGACCAUUCACGGAGUGUAGGCAAUUUUUGGAACAUAAGUUUAGACCUGAGAAGGCCACCAUAAUGAACACAUAUGUUGUGAUGAAAUCUGGUAUGAAAAACCUCGAUGAAAAUGGCAAUAGUGGUGCAAUCAGCAGCCAGAAAGCACAAAAACGCCUUGAUGAUUAUUCUACUGGUAUGAAGGAAGCAUAUCCAGAGAAUUGGCAGGACAUAGAAUUGGAUGAAAGGGUCUUGUACAACACAUCAGGUGGCAUGCCUCAUGGCCGUGUAGCGAUUGCAUCCGGUGCUGUGAAGAAAGCUGAUGUUCUUUCCGCUGCUAGGGCAACAAAUCUGAAGCCAUCUAUUUCCAUUGCUUACCGGAAUGCUAUCCAAGAGAAUGAGCAAUUACGUCAUGCAAAUGAGAGUCUAGAAAAGAAAACAGAAAUGCACGACCAAUUGUUCAAGGUAAAUACCGAUUCAUCUCAUGUUAGCUCAGAGGAUGGCCCUAUCGACCAUGACGUCGUCCAUGGCAAUAUUGAAGGCGACAAUGAUGAGGGGAACAUUGGUGUCAACGAUAACAAUUGUGGCUUCGAUCUUGAUGAAGUACCAUAUGCUCCAGGCCAAACUUAG